This 265-nucleotide ribosomal RNA is filed under the name uncultured bacterium. RNAcentral describes it as "partial 16S ribosomal RNA". It matches the Rfam family "Bacterial small subunit ribosomal RNA", at positions 793 to 1055 of the family's 1533-position model. The record is from RNAcentral.
GUCCUAGCCGUAAACGGUGCACGUUUGCUGUAAAAGGAAUCGACCCCUUUGUGGCGAAGCUAACGCGUUAAACGUGCCGCCUGGGAAGUACGGUCGCAAGAUUAAAACUCAAAGAAAUUGACGGGGCCUGCACAAGCGGUGGAGUAUGUGGCUUAAUUCGAUGCAACGCGAAGAACCUUACCUGGCCUUGACAUGCACAUAGUAGAAGGGUGAAAGCCUGACGAGGUAGCAAUACCAGUGUGCACAGGUGCUGCAUGGCUGUCGU